RNAcentral lists this long non-coding RNA (339 nucleotides) under Pan troglodytes (chimpanzee). RNAcentral describes it as "long non-coding RNA NONPTRT012825". The record is from RNAcentral. Lineage: Eukaryota; Metazoa; Chordata; Mammalia; Primates; Hominidae.
UCAAAUUGAUCAGAAGAAAAUACUCAAUUACUGACAAAUGUCAAUUACAUCAAUAGGAGGAGAAAAUGUGUAAUUGUAAGCAGCUGAACUAAAAUAUCUCUGUGACAUUUUGCUGGUGACUCCAGCCCUGUGAGAUCUGAGUGGCUCAGGAAUCAAAUUCUCCCACAAAGCUGAGGAAGCCUUUUAUUCUUAAUGCCAACAGGAUGCCUCAUGCCCAGAAUGUCAAAUCUGAACACCGACGGAAUGCAUUUUAUAAACAAAUUGAAGAAGCACAAUCUUUAACAGAAUUGUUGUUCUCUAGGCAGAUUAGUUUGGCUUCAAAUACAAAAUGCAAUAUUA